This 440-nucleotide ribosomal RNA is filed under the name uncultured bacterium. RNAcentral describes it as "partial 16S ribosomal RNA". It matches the Rfam family "Bacterial small subunit ribosomal RNA", at positions 338 to 795 of the family's 1533-position model. The record is from RNAcentral.
CCUACGGGAGGCAGCAGUGGGGAAUAUUGCGCAAUGGGCGAAAGCCUGAUGCAGCGACGCCGCGUGAGUGAAGAAGUAUUUCUGUACGUAAAGCUCUAUCAGCAGGGAAGAAAAUGACGGUACCUGACUAAGCAGCCCCGGCUAACCACGUGCCAGCAGCCGCGGUAAUACGUAGGGGGCAAGCGUUAUCCGGAUUUACUGGGUGUAAAGGGAGCGUAGACGGCAGCGCAAGUCUGGAGUGAAAUCCCAUGGCUUAACCAUGGAACUGCUUUGGAAACUGUGCAGCUGGAGUGCAGGAGAGGUAAGCGGAAUUCCUAGUGUAGCGGUGAAAUGCGUAGAUAUUAGGAGGAAUACCGUUAGCGAAGGCGGCAAGCUGGAUGGAAACUGACGCUGAGGUGCGAAAGCGUGGGUAGCAAACAGGAUUAGAUACCCUAGUAGUC